GAGGAGAGUUCUCGGUCUCGGUUCGCCGUGUACUGAGAGGCUCGAAUCUAUUUUCUGGGGAAACAUGGUGUCCUUUACUGGGCGCCAUGCAGAACCAGGACGAUUACCUUGAGAAAAAUAGAGUGUUCAAAGCAGGCUGUUGCUUGAAUACGUUAGCAUGGAAUAAUGGAAUAGGGCUGCUGCCCCAUUUUGUUGGUUUCUGGGACCGUAGCA
Molecule: ribosomal RNA, 213 nt
Filed under: uncultured fungus
Lineage: Eukaryota; Fungi
Description: partial small subunit ribosomal RNA
Rfam family: Eukaryotic small subunit ribosomal RNA (bases 93-213)
Source: RNAcentral